GGAAGGAUCAUUAACACGUUAUUCUUAACGUUAUCAACAAACCGCGAACUUGUUUUCAAUUCUCCCUUCAAUGAAUGAAGCAUGAGGGCACUGAGUAGAGACUUUGAGUGGGUUCCCCAAUAUUUAUAUUGGUUGGGACAAUCUCUAUUCACCACCUGUUCAAGCUAACCUGUAGCUUCAUUCGAAGGCAAACCCUCAAUAUCCAUCGGUCUACUAUACAUCGCCCCUCAUGGGUAUAGUUGGCUGCGGAUAUUAGAAUCACACUAAUAACCCUACUUUCACCUAGUUGACAUGUUCUGUUGUUAGCUUUGCUAGCAGCACGUUUGAAUUUAAUUAAACGUUAAACAGUACAACUCUUAGCAAUGGAUAUCUAGGCUCUCGCAACGAUGAAGAACGCAGCAAAUCGCGAUAUGUAAUGUGAAUUGCAGAAUUAAGUGAAUCAUCAAAUUUUUGAACGCAAAUUGCGCUCUUGGGAUAGCCCUGGGAGCACGCCUCUCUCAGUAUCGGUUCAAACACAGCUCAACUACGUGGAUGUCAUUUAUGAUACUCUCGCGUGCAGGUUGGACAAUGAGAGUCUCACUGCUUGUCAGUAAGUCUCUUUAAAUGGAUCGAGUGAUCUCAUUCAGCUAACGAAGUCCCUACUCUCCGGAGUAGGCCCAGUCUCUCUGACUGCUUGCUUUGAUUAGUGACGUGAAUACUGACCUUUGGUCUCUUUUCUACGUUUGUCUAAUUUCAAUAGCAGCCUCAAAGUCUAGGAAUGGGUUGUGGCUCGUUGUUAUAGUUGGAUGGAUUGCGUAUCGCGGCUAUAUGUAAGAAAAGCUGCAAUCGAUCUCUUUCUUAAGAGAUCUAUAACUUUUGAUCUGAGAUGAAGCGAGAAGACCCCCUGAAUUUAAGCAUAUUAAUAAGGGGAGGAAAAGAAAAUAACAAUAAUGCCCCUAGUAACGGCGAGUGAAGCGGGCAAAGCUCAAUCUGAAAAUCGAUUACCCAAACGGGUCAUCGAGUUGUAGCCUAUGGACGUACUAUCAGCUGUCACCUGGGUAUAAGUUCUUUGGAAUGAGGCCAAAUAUAGGGUGAGAUGCCCGUAUAUGACCUAAAGGUGUAUGGCGUACGAUGUAUGUUCUUCGAGUCGAGUUGUUUGGGAUUGCAGCUCUAAAUGGGUCGUAAGAAUGAUCUAAAGCUAAAUACAGGCGAGAGACCGAUAGCGAACAAGUACCGUGAGGGAAAGAUGAAAAGAACUUCGAAAGAAGAGUCAAAAGUACUUGAAAUUGCUAGGAGGGAAGCGCUGAAAACUAGUCACAUGUCUGGUUAAUCGCUUUGAGCCCCCCUAGGUUAUGCAGGUAGUUGGAUAACUCUAUCUGUAUGGCCGAAAGGGAGACUUGAGGUUUAUAAUUAGGCAUAAGUCAAGAUCAAUUCGAAUUGUGGGAGAAGGUAGUAAGAAAGGUAGGAGAGCAAUCUCUGUUAUAGUCUUAUUGCUCUACCUCGAUUUGGAUUGAGGAAGUAAUGGUGCGCCGCUUGCGGCUGGGUCCUUUGCUCCUAGUCCUUUAGCUGUGGUUAUAGCAAUGCUAUGUCUAUGUCGAAGAGGCCUACUGGGUAAGGUGACUUCAUGUACCGUCACGAUCUUGUACGAAAUGGUUUUCAUCGACCCGUCUUGAAACACGGACCAAGGAGUCUAACAUCUAUGCGAGUGUUUGGGUGGUUCAAACCCUGACGCGGAAUGAAAGUAAAGGUAGCCUCGGGCUACUGAGGUAGGAAUCCUGCAAGGGAGGCACUAUCGACCGAUCAUCACUUGUGAAAGAUUUGAGUAAGAGCAUAUCUGUUGGGACCCGAAAGAUGGUGAUCUAUGCCUGAACAGGGUGAAGCCAGGAGAAAUUCUGGUGGAGGCUCGUAGCGAUACUGACGUGCAAAUCGUUCGUCUGAUUUGGGUAUAGGGGCGAAAGACUAAUCGAACCAUCUAGUAGCUGGUUCCCUC
This 1969-nucleotide unclassified non-coding RNA is filed under the name uncultured fungus. RNAcentral describes it as "sequence contains 18S rRNA gene, ITS1, 5.8S rRNA gene, ITS2, 28S rRNA gene". The stretch from base 857 to 1969 matches the Rfam family "Eukaryotic large subunit ribosomal RNA", at positions 1 to 961 of the family's 3401-position model. Lineage: Eukaryota; Fungi. The record is from RNAcentral.